Molecule: ribosomal RNA, 460 nt
Filed under: uncultured bacterium
Lineage: Bacteria
Description: partial 16S ribosomal RNA
Rfam family: Bacterial small subunit ribosomal RNA
Source: RNAcentral
CCUACGGGUGGCAGCAGUGAGGAAUAUUGGUCAAUGGACGAGAGUCUGAACCAGCCAAGUAGAGUGAAGGAUGACUGCCCUAUGGGUUGUAAACUUCUUUUAUAUGGGAAUAAAAUGUUCCACGUGUGGGAUUUUGUAUGUACCAUAUGAAUAAGGAUCGGCUAACUCCGUGCCAGCAGCCGCGGUAAUACGGAGGAUCCGAGCGUUAUCCGGAUUUAUUGGGUUUAAAGGGAGCGUAGGUGGAUUGUUAAGUCAGUUGUGAAAGUUUGCGGCUCAACCGUAAAAUUGCAGUUGAAACUGGCAGUCUUGAGUACAGUAGAGGUGGGCGGAAUUCGUGGUGUAGCGGUGAAAUGCUUAGAUUUCACGAAGAACUCCGAUUGCGAAGGCAGUUCACUGGACUGCAACUGACACUGAGGCUCGAAAGUGUGGGUAUCAAACAGGAUUAGAUACCCUUGUAGUC